RNAcentral lists this ribosomal RNA (430 nucleotides) under bacterium Ellin5010. RNAcentral describes it as "bacterial SSU rRNA". It matches the Rfam family "Bacterial small subunit ribosomal RNA", at positions 28 to 475 of the family's 1533-position model. The record is from RNAcentral. Lineage: Bacteria; Bacillati; Actinomycetota; Actinomycetes; Micromonosporales; Micromonosporaceae.
GACGAACGCUGGCGGCGUGCUUAACACAUGCAAGUCGAGCGGAAAGGCCCUUCGGGGUACUCGAGCGGCGAACGGGUGAGUAACACGUGAGUAACCUGCCCUCAGCUUUGGGAUAACCCUCGGAAACGGGGGCUAAUACCGAAUAUUCACUGCCUGCCGCAUGGUGGGUGGUGGAAAGUUUUUCGGCUGGGGAUGGGCUCGCGGCCUAUCAGCUUGUUGGUGGGGUGAUGGCCUACCAAGGCGACGACGGGUAGCCGGCCUGAGAGGGCGACCGGCCACACUGGGACUGAGACACGGCCCAGACUCCUACGGGAGGCAGCAGUGGGGAAUAUUGCACAAUGGGCGGAAGCCUGAUGCAGCGACGCCGCGUGAGGGAUGACGGCCUUCGGGUUGUAAACCUCUUUCAGCAGGGACGAAGCGAGAGUGACGG